This 501-nucleotide ribosomal RNA is filed under the name uncultured bacterium. RNAcentral describes it as "partial 16S ribosomal RNA". It matches the Rfam family "Bacterial small subunit ribosomal RNA", at positions 30 to 523 of the family's 1533-position model. The record is from RNAcentral.
AUUGAACGCUGGCGGCAGGCUUAACACAUGCAAGUCGAGCGGAGAUGAGGUGCUUGCACCUUAUCUUAGCGGCGGACGGGUGAGUAAUGCUUAGGAAUCUGCCUAUUAGUGGGGGACAACAUUCCGAAAGGAAUGCUAAUACCGCAUACGUCCUACGGGAGAAAGCAGGGGAUCUUCGGACCUUGCGCUAAUAGAUGAGCCUAAGUCGGAUUAGCUAGUUGGUGGGGUAAAGGCCUACCAAGGCGACGAUCUGUAGCGGGUCUGAGAGGAUGAUCGGCCACACUGGGACUGAGACACGGCCCAGACUCCUACGGGAGGCAGCAAUGGGGAAUAUUGGACAAUGGGGGGAACCCUGAUCCAGCCAUGCCGCGUGUGUGAAGAAGGCCUUAUGGUUGUAAAGCACUUUAAGCGAGGAGGAGGCUACUGAGACUAAUACUCUUGGAUAGUGGACGUUACUCGCAGAAUAAGCGCCGGCUAACUCUGUGCCAGCAGCCGCCGUAA